RNAcentral lists this long non-coding RNA (614 nucleotides) under Callithrix jacchus (white-tufted-ear marmoset). RNAcentral describes it as "lncRNA (ENSCJAG00000085747.1)". The record is from RNAcentral. Lineage: Eukaryota; Metazoa; Chordata; Mammalia; Primates; Cebidae.
AUUUUGAAGUUUGUGCUGUUAAUAGUUUCUCUUCUGUUAUAGCUUUAGUAUAUAUACUCCUAGAAUUCAUUAUAUGAAUAUGUAAAAAAUUAUCCAUUCUCUUGUCUAUGUAUAUUUAAUUUACAGUUUUUCAGUAUUUUGAAUAAUACACAUUCAGCUCACAUUUUCAAAAUUUUAGUUUUUUUUUUUUAGACUGAGUCUCACUUUGUCACCCAGGUUAGAGUGCAGAAGUGCGAUCACGGCUCACUGCAGCCUUGACCUCCCAGUAGUCAGAUGAUCCUUCCAUCCCGGCCUCCAGAGUAGCUGGGAUUACAGGGAGAAAACAAAGAAGAAAAUGUAAAGCUACAAACGACUAUUCAAAUGAUCUUGUAACCUACACCCAUUGGACAAAAGCAAAAUAAGACAUUCAUUAGGUCUUAGACUAUGAUCAUUAAAGUGUAAUAUAGUAGUUGAAAAGAAGAUAAUGUGGGAGGUAAGCUACAUAAGCUACAUUUAGUUUUAAAGGAAAAUUUUCUGUCUUGAAUGAAAACAUUCUCAUUUGUGCAUUAGCUGAAACUUUACAUUUUAUUCCAGGUAUGUAAAAAUAAAUAUAGCAAAACCAUUUAUUCUGUUUC